This 447-nucleotide ribosomal RNA is filed under the name uncultured bacterium. RNAcentral describes it as "partial 16S ribosomal RNA". It matches the Rfam family "Bacterial small subunit ribosomal RNA", at positions 30 to 523 of the family's 1533-position model. The record is from RNAcentral.
AUUGAACGCUGGCGGCAGGCUUAACACAUGCAAGUCGAACGCCCCGCAAGGGGAGUGGCAGACGGGUGAGUAACGCGUGGGAAUCUACCGUACCCUACGGAACAACAGUUGGAAACGACUGCUAAUACCGUAUACGCCCUACGGGGGAAAGAUUUAUCGGGGUAUGAUGAGCCCGCGUUGGAUUAGCUAGUUGGUGGGGUAAAGGCCUACCAAGGCGACGAUCCAUAGCUGGUCUGAGAGGAUGAUCAGCCACAUUGGGACUGAGACACGGCCCAAACUCCUACGGGAGGCAGCAGUGGGGAAUAUUGGACAAUGGGCGCAAGCCUGAUCCAGCCAUGCCGCGUGAGUGAUGAAGGUCUUAGGAUUGUAAAGCUCUUUCACCGAUGAAGAUAAUGACGGUAGUCGGAGAAGAAGCCCCGGCUAACUUCGUGCCAGCCGCCGCGGUAA